GGGUGUGUAAGUGCUGUGAGGCAUUGAGCUAACCCAUACUAAUUGCCCGUGCGGCUUGGCCAUAUAAGCUAAG
RNAcentral lists this ribosomal RNA (73 nucleotides) under Pokkaliibacter plantistimulans. RNAcentral's name for it is "partial 23S ribosomal RNA". Lineage: Bacteria; Pseudomonadati; Pseudomonadota; Gammaproteobacteria; Oceanospirillales; Balneatrichaceae. The record is from RNAcentral.